GCGGCAGUGGCGGAAUGGCAGACGCGCCAGACUCAGGAUCUGGUGGGGGCAACCCCGUGGAGGUUCAAAUCCUCUCUGCCGCA
RNAcentral lists this transfer RNA (83 nucleotides) under Ammonifex degensii KC4. It matches the Rfam family "tRNA". From Rfam's summary of the family: Transfer RNA (tRNA) molecules are approximately 80 nucleotides in length. Their secondary structure includes four short double-helical elements and three loops (D, anti-codon, and T loops). The record is from Rfam by way of RNAcentral. Lineage: Bacteria; Bacillati; Bacillota; Clostridia; Thermoanaerobacterales; Thermoanaerobacteraceae.